Molecule: unclassified non-coding RNA, 557 nt
Filed under: Bombus terrestris (buff-tailed bumblebee)
Lineage: Eukaryota; Metazoa; Arthropoda; Insecta; Hymenoptera; Apidae
Description: misc RNA ENSBTSG00005037484.1
Source: RNAcentral
GCACGCGUGUGCUCCGAGAAAAAGUUCGUAACACGUUGAUCGUAGUCGCGAUUGCGAAAAGGAACGAGGAAACAGAAAAAGGCAGGGACUCAGGAAAGCAAAACGAAGAUAGGAAAUGCAAACGAGAAAGCACACCAGCAUUCAUCUCACCCAUAGUAUUAGAAUCCAAGCUGUGAUCGCUCUCUAAAGAUACCAAGAAUCUAAUUUUUUUAUCCAGUCAACACAGAGAUGAUACUUUCAGAGCGUGAAAAGUCUUCCAUACACGGCGCAUGCCUUACAGUGAAAGGGUUAAUGUCCUUGGGAAAGAGGGAACGUCGAACGAACGUGCAAGUAUUGAAUAAAAGAAGAGAAGAAAAAGAUCGGGAAGGAAUGGUGGAUUUUCACUGCGUGAAAAUAAAGUUACUGGCAUUUUAAGACGUCACUUUAUAGCAUCUCGGCUGUACAACAUCGAGAAUUUCCAAGCUAGAAGGAACGAUUCGAGCCGUGGUCGAGGCAAAUCGAUCGAGGAGCAUAUUCGCGUCACGAGGGCAAUGCACCGACGAUACGAUGCACCAGUU